RNAcentral lists this transfer RNA (64 nucleotides) under Faxonius propinquus. RNAcentral's name for it is "tRNA-Ser". It matches the Rfam family "tRNA". Rfam says of the family: Transfer RNA (tRNA) molecules are approximately 80 nucleotides in length. Their secondary structure includes four short double-helical elements and three loops (D, anti-codon, and T loops). Lineage: Eukaryota; Metazoa; Arthropoda; Malacostraca; Decapoda; Cambaridae. The record is from RNAcentral.
UAAAGUUUAGUUUAUAAAAACAAAUGUUUUGAAAGCAUUAAUAGGAGGCUUCCUCCAACUUUUA